GUUUUGAUUGCUUGUUGCCAUUACCCCAGGUGCAUACCUUGUCCUGAAUGACCUCGCAUUUACAUGUCUGGGCUUUGAAAUGUUGGGGGGUGUUAAUGUUUCUUUUUAAUUUUUAUUUGUUUAUUUAACAUUUAAACCAGGGAAAGAUAUUAUUUAAAAUUUUCACCAUGCAUACUUGACUGGGUGAAGAAAUGAACAUGUUCCUCUUUUUGAGAUUCACUCUCACUGUGUGUCUUUGCUGCUGGGUUUCAGUUAAUUAUGUGGUCAGCACUCCCAAUCCUGAUGGCAUGGGGGAGUUCUCCAGCAUCGAGGCAGAGCUGUCAGAGAGGACAUGGGGUGGUGAGCUAUGGCUGGUCUCCUUAAUGCAGGUUGCCUGCCCAUUGCCUGCUCCCUCCUUCCAGGUGCAGUGUGCUGGUCAUGACAGCAACAGCUCACAUGACUUGAUAGGCACUUUGGGAAUGACCCUGGCAGAGAGGCAGACAGCUGGUGCCUGCUCUCUGGUGGAAUUCGAAUGCAUUCAUUCUGAGAAAAAAACAAAAGAAGAGGAAUUACAAUAAUUCUGGCAUUAUUCGGAUAAAAUCCUGCAAGGCUCCCCAGGAAGCACUUUCCCAGAGGGUUCUGGCUGAAGUGCCUAAGCAGCUGGUGUCAUACUAUAAAUGGCAGGGGUGACCCCCUGUGGAACUGCCAGAAGUCAAGGCGAUGCAGAUUCGGGCUGGCCCUGGCCACCUCCAGCACUGGGAUGAAAAGAGCUUCCUGCAGCCAUGCUCUCCCUUGUGCACUGUGGCUGCUCAGUGCCUAGAGAUUGUGCCACUCAUACUACUUCUUUCACUUGCUUGGACACUGAGUCUUUGAUCUUUCCCAUUUUUAUUGGAAGAAAUGUAAAUACAGGAAAACCCCAAGUGCUGAAAGUUUUUGUCACAGAAAAAUUCACCUUGCAACAAUGACACAUGACA
This is a long non-coding RNA of Malurus melanocephalus (red-backed fairy wren), 953 nucleotides long. RefSeq lists it as uncharacterized. The record is from RefSeq and is a predicted model, not a curated record. The transcript has 3 exons. NCBI's taxonomy places the organism in Eukaryota, Metazoa, Chordata, Aves, Passeriformes, Maluridae.